RNAcentral lists this ribosomal RNA (857 nucleotides) under uncultured bacterium. RNAcentral's name for it is "bacterial SSU rRNA". It matches the Rfam family "Bacterial small subunit ribosomal RNA", at positions 639 to 1498 of the family's 1533-position model. The record is from RNAcentral.
AGCUAGAGUUGGGUAGGGGAGACUGGAAUUCCUGGUGUAGCGGUGGAAUGCGCAGAUAUCAGGAGGAACACCGAUGGCGAAGGCAGGUCUCUGGGCCAAUACUGACACUGAGGAGCGAAAGCGUGGGGAGCGAACAGGAUUAGAUACCCUGGUAGUCCACGCCGUAAACGGUGGGCGCUAGUUGUGCGAACCUUCCACGGUUUGUGCGACGCAGCUAACGCAUUAAGCGCCCCGCCUGGGGAGUACGAUCGCAAGAUUAAAACUCAAAGGAAUUGACGGGGCCCCGCACAAGCAGCGGAGCAUGCGGCUUAAUUCGACGCAACGCGAAGAACCUUACCAAGGCUUGACAUAUACAGGAAUAUGGCAGAGAUGUCAUAGCCGCAAGGUCUGUAUACAGGUGGUGCAUGGUUGUCGUCAGCUCGUGUCGUGAGAUGUUGGGUUAAGUCCCGCAACGAGCGCAACCCUCGUUCUGUGUUGCCAGCAUUAAGUUGGGGACUCACAGGAGACUGCCGGGGUUAACUCGGAGGAAGGUGGGGAUGACGUCAAAUCAUCAUGCCCCUUAUGUCUUGGGCUGCACGCAUGCUACAAUGGCUGGUACAAACGGCUGCGAUACCGCAAGGUGGAGCGAAUCCGAUAAAGCCAGUCUCAGUUCGGAUUGGGGUCUGCAACUCGACCCCAUGAAGUCGGAGUUGCUAGUAAUCGUAGAUCAGCAACGCUACGGUGAAUACGUUCCCGGGGCUUGUACACACCGCCCGUCACAUCACGAAAGUCGGUAACACCCAAAGUCAGUGGCCCAACCGUAAGGAGGGAGCUGCCAAAGGUGGGAUCGGUGAUUGGGAUGAAGUCGUAACAAGGUA